UGAAACCGCCAGGGGUGCUUUCGCUGAGAGUCCGCCGCUUCGCGCGGCGGGCAACCCGUCGAACCUGACCCGGGUAAUGCCGGCGCAGGGAGCGUGGUGCUCUUCGAAC
Molecule: non-coding RNA, 109 nt
Filed under: Deltaproteobacteria bacterium
Lineage: Bacteria; Pseudomonadati; Myxococcota; Myxococcia
Description: TPP sequence
Rfam family: TPP riboswitch aptamer (THI element)
About the family: Vitamin B(1) in its active form thiamin pyrophosphate (TPP) is an essential coenzyme that is synthesised by coupling of pyrimidine and thiazole moieties in bacteria. The previously detected thiamin-regulatory element, thi box was extended, resulting in a new, highly conserved RNA secondary structure, the THI element, which is widely distributed in eubacteria and also occurs in some archaea.
Source: RNAcentral